Molecule: ribosomal RNA, 1337 nt
Filed under: uncultured archaeon
Lineage: Archaea
Description: bacterial SSU rRNA
Rfam family: Archaeal small subunit ribosomal RNA
Source: RNAcentral
UGCUAUCGGGAUGGGACUAAUACAUGAUAGUCGUGCUUCUCCAUCCAUGGUGGAGGCGCGGCGCACACCUCAUUAUCACGUGGUUAACCUGCCCUUGGGACUGACACACCCCCGGGAAACUGGGGCUAAUUUCCGAUAGGUGAAAGCUCCUGGAAUGGAUCUUCCCCUAAAGGGCGCUUAUGCCAUGCUUCUAGGCGCUGCCCAAGGAUGGGGCCGCGGCCGAUCAGGUUGUUGGUGAGGUAAUGGCUCACCAAGCCUUUAACCGGUUCGGGCCGUGGGAGCGGGAGCCCGGACAUGGGCACUGAGACAAGGGCCCAGGCCCUACGGGGCGCAACAAUCGCGAAAACUCCGCAAUACGCGAAGGCGUGACGGGGCUAUCCCGAGUGCCGUCCGCUGAGGAUGGCUUUUCCCCAGUGUAGAUAGAUGGGGGAAUAAGGAGAGGGCAAGUCUGGUGUCAGCCGCCGCGGUAAUACCAGCUCUCCGAGUGGUGUGGACGUUUAUUGAGCCUGAAGCAUCCGUAGCCAGCUGAGCAAGUCCCCAGUUAAAUCCAGCGAUUUAAUCGUUGGACUGCUGCCGAUACUGUCCGCUAGGGGGUGGGAGAGGCUGACGGUAUUCCUGGCGUAGGGGUGAACAUCUUAUAAUCCUGGUGAUGUCCACCAGUAUCGAAGGCUGUUGUCUAGAACAUGCCCGCCGGCGAGGGAUGAGAGGAGGGGGAUCGAACCAGAUUAGAUACCCGGGUAGUCCCAUCUGUAAACGAUGCAGGGUAGGUGUUAGGGCGACCCCGUGCCGCUCUAGUGCCGCAGUGAAGCUGUUAAGCAUGCAGCUUGCGGAGUACGUCUGCAAGGCUGAAACUUAACGGAAUUGGCGGGGGAGCACCACAAGGGGUGAAGCUUGCGGUUUAAUUGGAGUCAACGCCGGAAAUCUCUCCGGGAGCGACAGCAGGAUGAAAGCCAGAUUAAAGGUCUUUCCAGACGAGAUGAGAGGAGGUGCAUGGCCGUCGCCAGUUCGUGCCUUGAGGUGUCCUGUUAAGUCAGUCAACGAUCGAGACCCGCAUUUCCAGUUGCUACCAACCAUGCGUUGGGCACACUGGGGAGACUUCCGCCGAUAAGGAGGAGGAAGGAGCGGGCCUCGGCAGGUCAGUAUGCCCCGAAUUUCUCGGCCCACACGCGAGCUGCAAUGGCAGGUACAAUGGGUUCCAACCCCGUAAGGGGGAGGCAAUCUUUAAUACCUGCCGUAGUUGGGAUCGAGGGUUGUAACUCACCCUCGUGAACAUGGAAUCCCUCGUAAUCGCGCGUCACUAUCGCGCGGUGAAUACGUCCCUGCUCCUGCACACACCG